Molecule: long non-coding RNA, 1574 nt
Filed under: Nicotiana tabacum (common tobacco)
Lineage: Eukaryota; Viridiplantae; Streptophyta; Magnoliopsida; Solanales; Solanaceae
Description: long non-coding RNA (NTAB_LNC010353)
Source: RNAcentral
GAACAUUGACUUAUGUGUUAGAGGGCUCAGGUUUGAAUUCCGAUGAUUCGGUUAGCUUCGAGAGAUGAUUUGUGACUUAGGAGUGUGAUCGGAAGUAAUUUUGGAGGUUCGGUGUUGAAUUAGGCUUGAAUUGGCGAAGUUAGUAUUUUGGCAAAUUCCGGUUGAUAGGUGAGAUUUUGAUCCGGGUGUCGGAAUGAAAUUCCGAGAGUUGCUGUAGCUUCAUUGUGUCAUUUGGGAUAUGUGUGCAAAAUUUCAGGUCAUUCAGACAUCGUUUGGUCGGGGUUUUGAUCGAAUGUGUGUUUUAGAAGUUUUAAAAGAACUUAGGCUUGAAUUCGAUAUAAUUUGAUGAUUUUGGCGUUAGUUGAGGUGUUUUGACGAUUGGAGCAAGUUUGGAUAAUGUUUUAAGACAUGUUGGUGCUUUUAGUUGAGGUUCCGAGGGCCUCGGGUGGAUUUCGGAAGGUUAACGGAAUGGAAUUCGGACCCAAAAAGAAAAGAAAAAGCUGCUGCAAUUUCUGUUGCUAAGCUGUCUUUGGACAACAAAUGUGCAGUCGUGGAGUGUACUUCGGGAGCCUAUAUCUUUUGAUCUACAAGGAAUUUUGAGAUGAUUCAAAAAUGAAAGUUGUAGCCCUUCACGUCUAGUUUCCAGAAAGCUAAGGAAAUCGUAACUGUGACAUAUGUAGAGAAAGUUAUGAUCGAUUGAAGAUGACUGGUGGAGUAGUUUCUCCAGAAUUUUCUGAUUUCAUGGAACCGACUUUAGAAGCUCAUAUAUCGGGAUAUAUAAAGAGUUAUAUGGUGUACAACCUAUCAAAUUAAAGAUCUUCGAGUCUAUUUCUAAAUAUUCAAACCGUUUGUAAUUUGGAUAUUUAGACAAGAUGUUAUGGGUGUUUAAACAGAAGGUGUCCGACAAGGGAAAAUUUUAAUAGGAUGUACAACUUGUAUAGCAUAAGUGCAAGGUACAACUCGACGAAGCACGGACUAAUUCUUUAAACACGGAUUUGGCUUAUUUCUUUCAUUUCUUUCAGUUGGCUUGGAUGAUUUUGGAGAGAAUUUCAAGGGGGAUUUUAGCAAGCAUCAAAGGUGAGUUGUUCUACUUAUUUUCAAGUUAAAUACAAGAUUAUAUGUGAAUUAGAACAUGAAAAUCAGUAGAAAAGUGGGGUUUUAGGGCUUGUGCUUUUAAGAUUUUCUAGGGUCGAUUUGAAGGGUCAAACGAGCUCCGAUUUUUGUGUUCUUUAUAUGUACGGACUCGUGAGAGGACGAAGAACAUUUUGGUACAAAAAUUUAUAAGUUUUGAGAUGUGGGACCGGGGCUCGGGUUUCGCCAAAUUCGUUAAUUUUGAUAUUUUCGAGUGUUUUCGAUUGGGUAUUGUCCCUUUAGCAUAAUGAGACAUAUUCGUUGUGAUUUUGAGCAGAUUCGUCGCACGAGGAGGCUAAUUUGAGAGGCAAGGGUAUAGUGAGCUAGAGCUUUGGCCGGUUUGAGGUGAGUAAUUGAUGUAAAUGAUGUCCUGAGGGUUUGAAACCCCGGAAUUUCACAUCGUAACGCUAUAUUGAGGUGACUUGCCUGCCGGAUAACGGGCG